This 1049-nucleotide long non-coding RNA is filed under the name Monodelphis domestica (gray short-tailed opossum). RNAcentral describes it as "lncRNA (ENSMODG00000032069.2)". The record is from RNAcentral. Lineage: Eukaryota; Metazoa; Chordata; Mammalia; Didelphimorphia; Didelphidae.
GCCUUCUUUCAAGACAUGAAGAAUAUGGAAAUUUAUAUUGUAUAACAACACUGUAAAAAUCGAUAUCAAAUUGUUUACCAUCGGAGAGGGAAAGGAGUGAGAGAAUAUGGAUUGUGAAAGGUCAGAAAAUAAUUUUAAAAACUGUUUCUACAUUUAAUUGAAAAAAAAAAAGGAUUAGACACACACAAAAAAAGCCCGCCUAAGAUAGUCCGUGAGAGGAAAGGAGGAGGUGGGAGGAUAUGAAUUCUUCACAUUUUUUAAGAAUAUUUUUCCAUGGUUCCAUGAUUCAUGAUCCCCCACUUUUCCCCUCCCCUUUCCCAGAGCUGACAAGCAAUUCCACUGGGUUAUACAUAUAUUAUUGUUCAAAACCUAUUUCCAUGUCAUUCAUAUUUGGAACAGUGAUCUUUUAACAUCAAAACCCUAAUCAUAUCCCCAUCAAACCACAUAAUUAAUUAUAUGUUUUUCCUUUGCCUUUCUGUUCCCACAGUUCUUUCUCUGGAUGUGGAUAGCGUUCUUUCUCAUAAGUUCCUCUGAAUUGUCCUGGGUCAUUGCAUUGCUGCUAGUAGAGAAGUCUAUUACAUUCGAUUGUGCCAUAGUCUCUGUGUAUGAUGUUCUCCUGGUUUUGCUCUUUUCACUCUGCCUCAGUUCUUGGAGGUCUUUCCAUGAACUCUUCACAUUGAAGAAACUUGAUCCUCCACCUUGCUACUGCAAGUCAGAUGGAAAGGCCUAUGGUGAGCUGAUAAAUGUUUUAACAACUGGCUUGACAGAAAAAAGAAAAUGGGUGCACAACUUACUUUUAAGUUUAAUGUACAUUAGUAUCAUCUUCUCCAUCACUUUCUUAAUUAGCCAACAAACAAAACAACAAAUCAAGCCCUGAUUUGUAGCAUUCGCCAAUUUCGAAGGCAUAAAUGCUCACACAGAAAGUUUAAUAAUUAGCUCUUGUGAGCUGAAUGAGCUGGCUCCAGCACACUCCUGGAAAGGCCCCAUAAUUCUUAAGGGGGAAUGGCCAAGCAGAUGGUAAUGCAUCUUCAUGAAUGCUAUUUCCACAG